AUUCCAUUAUGAGGGCAUCUUUGUAACAACUCUUUCAACCGUUCCCAUACUUUGAACGUAGUUUCUCCUUCUCAUUGGCUGAAAUUGCGAAUCUUCUUCCUCAUUUU
RNAcentral lists this small nucleolar RNA (107 nucleotides) under Nicotiana tabacum (common tobacco). RNAcentral's name for it is "Plant small nucleolar RNA R71". It matches the Rfam family "Plant small nucleolar RNA R71". From Rfam's summary of the family: R71 is a member of the C/D box family of snoRNAs containing the C (UGAUGA) and D (CUGA) box motifs. Multiple nearly identical copies of this snoRNA have been identified in Arabidopsis, and it is thought to function as a 2'-O-ribose methylation guide for 18S ribosomal RNA. The record is from Rfam by way of RNAcentral. Lineage: Eukaryota; Viridiplantae; Streptophyta; Magnoliopsida; Solanales; Solanaceae.